AGGUACCGGUUUGGGUUUGUCUUUCAUUAUAAAUCUAUACAUAAUUGUAGUUUAAUAUUAGCAAGUUUCGCUCCACACGAGUAAAUAUAAUUUGAAGGUUGGGUGGAUGUUGGCAUAAUUGAUCCACCUCUAAUUGGUGCAAUAUACUAUACUUUAUGAGAAAGAGCUAAAAAAUCCUUGUAGUAUAUAGUAUACUUACCAUUCAAUCCAGGA
This 213-nucleotide long non-coding RNA is filed under the name Elaeis guineensis (African oil palm). RNAcentral's name for it is "long non-coding RNA (EGUI_LNC012504)". Lineage: Eukaryota; Viridiplantae; Streptophyta; Magnoliopsida; Arecales; Arecaceae. The record is from RNAcentral.